This 167-nucleotide ribosomal RNA is filed under the name Kuhlia rupestris (rock flagtail). RNAcentral describes it as "partial 12S ribosomal RNA". Lineage: Eukaryota; Metazoa; Chordata; Actinopteri; Centrarchiformes; Kuhliidae. The record is from RNAcentral.
CACCGCGGUUAUACGAGAGACCCAAGUUGAUAGUCUUCGGCGUAAAGAGUGGUUAAGAUAAGAUUCAAAUUAAAGCCGAACGCUUUCAGAGCUGUUAUACGCCCCGAAAGUAAGAAGUUCAAUCACGAAAGUGGCUUUAUGAUACUGAACCCACGAAAGCUAUGAAA